Oncorhynchus keta (chum salmon) is the source of this 2901-nucleotide long non-coding RNA. RefSeq lists it as uncharacterized. The record is from RefSeq and is a predicted model, not a curated record. NCBI's taxonomy places the organism in Eukaryota, Metazoa, Chordata, Actinopteri, Salmoniformes, Salmonidae. The transcript has 2 exons.
AUCAGCAACGUUGUUUACAAUCACUGACAGGGUCAGAGUUAAUUCGUUCCAACAUGGAGAAAUUUCACGGCUUGCAUGCGAGCUAGCUAAGUAAAUGAACAUCAUUGAGAAAGACCUUGGUGGAUUGUACUCUACAUAGGAAAUGAAGUGUACCGUAAUAUAGAUAAGAUAUCGGGAAAGAAUAUGUUUCGUUUAAGAGUAAAUAUUAUGGGAUCGUCGUCUUCACAAAAGCUGUGUGUCCUGUACCUACUACACCUGGGACAGAGAAUCCCUCGAUGUUUUCAACUGCCAUGGGUGAGACCUUACCUCAGACUAGGAACUAUCUGUAGUGUCACUGGACCUGACUCAGCCACUCCUUGUAGUAUCUCUACCAUUGACGGUAUUGGACCUGAUUCAGCUACUCUGAAUACAUCAACCAAUGACAGUAGCCAACAGACAGCAACAACAGUCAAUAGCCCUGAGUCUGGCUCUGGCCCCAGUACCUCUGACUCCCCUCCUGCCAAGGCCAAUGGCCCUCCACCGACUCCCACCCACUGCUGUAUGAGCGGUUGUCAUAACUGUGUAUGGAUCGAGCACACAGAACAGCUCCUAGCCUACUACCGUAAUGGAGGGUUGGGGAUAGAAAAGGCCCUGGCUGCUAUUGAGGAGAACGUCCCGGAUGAGAACCUAAAAGCGUUCCUAAAGAUGGAGAUCAGGAUGAUGAAGAAGUCAAGUUUUUAAGUAUGGCUUUGUGCGGCAGUGAGUGAGAGGGAAUGGGGACAUUGAGGGCAUUUUUAUACUGUAUGCACUUUAAAAUCACUCCCACAGAUUUGAAUACUGGUGUGCAUUUUAUCUUAUGAGUUUGUCAAACUGUCAUUUUACUUGUUCAAGGACAUUUUAACUAGCUUUUGUCAUUAUAAAAUAUUCUUACUUACUAUAGAUUGGGUAUUUUACAUGAGUAGCAUAAAUCAUGUAUUAUCAUUUUAUGUACAGUUGAAGUCGGAAGUUUACAUACACCUUAGCCAAAUACAUUUAAACUCAGUUUUUCACAAUUCCUGACAUUUUAAUCCUAGUAAAAAUUCCCUGUCUUAGGUCAGUCAAGAUCACUACUUUAUUUUAAGAAUGUGUAAUGUCAGAAGAAUAGUAGAAAGAAUGUUUUCUUUCAUCACAUUCCCAGUGGGUGAGAAGUUUACAUACACUCAAUUAGUAUUUGGUAGCAUUGCCUUUAAAUUGUUUAACUUGGGACAAAUGUUUCGGGUAGCCUUCCACAAGCUUGACACGAUAAGUUGGUUGAAUUUUGGCCCAUUCCUCCUCAUAGAGCUCGUGUAACUGAGUCAGGUUUGUAGGCCUCCUUGCUCGCUUUUUCAGUUCUGCCCACAAAUGUUCUAUGGGGUUGAGGUCAGGGCUUUGUGAUGGCCACUCCAAGACCUUGACUUUGUUGUCCUUUAAGCCAUUUUACCACAACUUUGGAAGUAUGCUUGGGGUCAUUGUCCAUUGGUAAGACCCAUUUGCGACCAAGAUUUAACUUCCUGACUAAUGUCUUGAUGUUGCUUCAAUAUAUCCACAUAAUUUUCCUCCUGAUGAUGCCAUCUAUUUUGUGAAGUGCACCAGUCCCUCCUGCAGCACAGCACCCCCCCCAAAUUAUGCUUCCACCCCCGUGCUUCACGGUUGGGAUGGUGUUCUUUGGCUUGCAAACCUCCCCCUUUUUCCUACAAACAUAACAAUGGUCAUUAUGGCCAAACAGUUAUUUUUUUUUCAUCAGACCAGAGGACAUUUCUCUAAAAAGUACGAUCUUUGUCCCCAUGUGCAGUUGCAAACUGUAGUCUGGCUUUUUUUAUGGCAGUUUUGGAGCAGUGGCUUCUUCCUUGCUGAGUGGCCUUUCAGGUUAUGUCGAUAUGGGACUCGUUUUACUGUGAAUAUAGAUACCUUUUUACCUUUUUCUCCAGCUUCUUCUCAAGCUCCUUUGAUGUUGUUCUGGGUUUGAUUUGCACUUUUCGCACCAAAGUACGUUCAUCUCCAGGAGACAGAAUGCGCCUCCUUCCUGAGCGGUAUGGCGGCUGCGUGGUCCCAUGGUGUUUAUACUUGCGUACUAUUGUUUGCACAGAUGAACGUGGUACCUUGAGGUGUUUGGAAAUUGCUACCAAGGAUGAACCAUACUUGUGGAGGUCUACACAUUGUUUUCUGAGGUCUUGGCUGAUUUCUUUUGAUUUUCCCAUGAUGUCAAGCAAAGAGACACUGAGUUUAAAGGUAGGCCUUGAAAUACAUCCACAGGUACACCUCCAAUUGACUCAAAUUAUGUCAAUUAGCCUAGCAGAAGCUUCUAAAGCCAUGACAUCAUUUUCUGGAAUUUUCCAAGCUGUUUAAAGGCACAGUCAACUUAGUGUAUGUAGACUUCUCACCCACUGGAAUUGUGAUACAGUGAAUUAUAAGUGAAAUAAUCCGUCUGUAAACAAUUGUUUGAAAAAUGACUCGUGUCAUACACAAAGUAGUUAACCUAACCAAUUUACCAAAACUAUAGUUUGUUAACAAGACAUUUGUGGAGUGGUUGAAAAAUGUAAUCUUCCGACUUCAACGGUAGCCUCGCUACUGUCAUUUUACUGUUUUUAAUUUUCUUAUUUAUUUACUUAUCUAUUGUUUACCUCAUACCUAUUUUAUAUUUAUAAAUUGCACUGUUGGUUAGGGCUUGUAAGUGCAUUCGGUGCACGUGACAAACUUUGGUUUGAUAGUGAUUUGAUAGUUAGCUGAGACUUCAAAUUCAAUACGCACAAUUAUAAUUGAUGGAUUAACAUUUUGACCUGUUUGAGGUAUAUGGACUGAAUACAUUUUCAUAUUGGUUGAUGUGUUAUUGUAUUAUCUAAAUUAUAAGUAUGUUGAUGAUGGACAACAUAUGUGUGAAAUAAAUAUUGUACUUGUGUGAAUGAA